This 72-nucleotide transfer RNA is filed under the name Stegodyphus mimosarum. It matches the Rfam family "tRNA". Rfam says of the family: Transfer RNA (tRNA) molecules are approximately 80 nucleotides in length. Their secondary structure includes four short double-helical elements and three loops (D, anti-codon, and T loops). The record is from Rfam by way of RNAcentral. Lineage: Eukaryota; Metazoa; Arthropoda; Arachnida; Araneae; Eresidae.
ACCUUCGUGGUGUAACUGUUAGCAAACUCGACUUGUAAUCGAGAGGUCCAGGUUCCAGUCCCGGCGAGGGCA